UACGGGGGGUGCGAGCGUUGUCCGGAAUCACUGGGCGUAAAGGGCGCGUAGGCGGUUUGAUAAGGGUGUGGUGAAAGUCCGGGGCUCAACCCCGGAUCUGCCGUGCCGACUGUCAAACUCGAGGACUGUAGAGGCAGACGGAAUUCCGGGUGUAGCGGUGGAAUGCGUAGAGAUCCGGAGGAAGACCGGUGGCGAAGGCGGUCUGCUGGGCAGUUUCUGACACUGAGGCGCGAAAGCGUGGGGAGCAAACAGG
Molecule: ribosomal RNA, 253 nt
Filed under: uncultured bacterium
Lineage: Bacteria
Description: partial 16S ribosomal RNA
Rfam family: Bacterial small subunit ribosomal RNA
Source: RNAcentral